This 760-nucleotide ribosomal RNA is filed under the name Alteromonas sp. MBTD_CMFRI_At01. RNAcentral describes it as "bacterial SSU rRNA". It matches the Rfam family "Bacterial small subunit ribosomal RNA", at positions 69 to 826 of the family's 1533-position model. Lineage: Bacteria; Pseudomonadati; Pseudomonadota; Gammaproteobacteria; Alteromonadales; Alteromonadaceae. The record is from RNAcentral.
GUAACAUUUCUAGCUUGCUAGAAGAUGACGAGUGGCGGACGGGUGAGUAAUGCUUGGGAACUUGCCUUUGCGAGGGGGAUAACAGUUGGAAACGACUGCUAAUACCGCAUAAUGUCUACGGACCAAACGGGGCUUCGGCUCCGGCGCAAAGAGAGGCCCAAGUGAGAUUAGCUAGUUGGUAAGGUAACGGCUUACCAAGGCGACGAUCUCUAGCUGUUCUGAGAGGAAGAUCAGCCACACUGGGACUGAGACACGGCCCAGACUCCUACGGGAGGCAGCAGUGGGGAAUAUUGCACAAUGGGGGAAACCCUGAUGCAGCCAUGCCGCGUGUGUGAAGAAGGCCUUCGGGUUGUAAAGCACUUUCAGUUGUGAGGAAAAGUUAGUAGUUAAUACCUGCUAGCCGUGACGUUAACAACAGAAGAAGCACCGGCUAACUCCGUGCCAGCAGCCGCGGUAAUACGGAGGGUGCGAGCGUUAAUCGGAAUUACUGGGCGUAAAGCGCACGCAGGCGGUUUGUUAAGCUAGAUGUGAAAGCCCCGGGCUCAACCUGGGAUGGUCAUUUAGAACUGGCAGACUAGAGUCUUGGAGAGGGGAGUGGAAUUCCAGGUGUAGCGGUGAAAUGCGUAGAUAUCUGGAGGAACAUCAGUGGCGAAGGCGACUCCCUGGCCAAAGACUGACGCUCAUGUGCGAAAGUGUGGGUAGCGAACAGGAUUAGAUACCCUGGUAGUCCACACCGUAAACGCUGUCUACUAGCUGUGUG